RNAcentral lists this ribosomal RNA (429 nucleotides) under bacterium. RNAcentral describes it as "partial 16S ribosomal RNA". It matches the Rfam family "Bacterial small subunit ribosomal RNA", at positions 355 to 776 of the family's 1533-position model. The record is from RNAcentral.
UAGGGAAUCUUCGGCAAUGGGGGCAACCCUGACCGAGCAACGCCGCGUGAGUGAAGAAGGUUUUCGGAUCGUUAAGCUCUGUUGUAAGAGAAGAACGUGUGUGAGAGUGGAAAGUUCACACAGUGACGGUAACUUACCAGAAAGGGACGGCUAACUACGUGCCAGCAGCCGCGGUAAUACGUAGGUCCCGAGCGUUGUCCGGAUUUAUUGGGCGUAAAGCGAGCGCAGGCGGUUUAAUAAGUCUGAAGUUAAAGGCAGUGGCUUAACCAUUGUUCGCUUUGGAAACUGUUAAACUUGAGUGCAGAAGGGGAGAGUGGAAUUCCAUGUGUAGCGGUGAAAUGCGUAGAUAUAUGGAGGAAUACCGGUGGCGAAAGCGGCUCUCUGGUCUGUAACUGACGCUGAGGCUCGAAAGCGUGGGGAGCAAACAGG